UCAGUCGACUCCUACGGGGAGGCAGCAGUGGGGAAUAUUGCACAAUGGGGGAAACCCUGAUGCAGCCAUGCCGCGUGUGUGAAGAAGGACCUUCGGGUUGUAAAGCACUUUCAGUAGGGAGGAAGGUAGUGUAGUUAACAUCUGCAUUAUUUGACGUUACCUACAGAAGAAGCACCGGCUAACUCCGUGCCAGCAGCCGCGGUAAUACGGAGGGUGCGAGCGUUAAUCGGAAUUACUGGGCGUAAAGCGCAUGCAGGCGGCCUGUUAAGUCAGAUGUGAAAGACCCGGGGCUUAACCUCGGAAUUGCAUUUGAAACUGGCAGGCUAGAGUCUUGUAGAGGGGGGUAGGAAUUUCAGGUGUAGCGGUGAAAUGCGUAGAGAUCUGAAGGAAUACCAGUGGCGAAGGCGGCCCCCCUGGACAAAGACUGACGCUCAGAUGCGAAAGCGUGGGGAGCAAACAGGAUUAGAUACCCCUGGUAG
This 479-nucleotide ribosomal RNA is filed under the name uncultured bacterium. RNAcentral's name for it is "bacterial SSU rRNA". It matches the Rfam family "Bacterial small subunit ribosomal RNA", at positions 328 to 793 of the family's 1533-position model. The record is from RNAcentral.